Long non-coding RNA from Chinchilla lanigera (long-tailed chinchilla), 2784 nucleotides. RefSeq lists it as uncharacterized. Lineage: Eukaryota; Metazoa; Chordata; Mammalia; Rodentia; Chinchillidae. The record is from RefSeq and is a predicted model, not a curated record. The transcript has 3 exons.
UUUAAAAACCCAUUUAUUCAGUGAUUGAGAGACAGGUGAUGCUUCAGGGAAACAUCCCAGCCUAAGUCAGACUGCAGAGCGAUGAGAUGGGAAACAGAUUCACAAAGAAUUAAAUUAGUGCAUUAAAUGUUAUGAAAAUUUUUCAGAGGUUAGAGGUCUCAUCCCUUCUGAUUUCAAAGCUUAUUUAGACACCACUGUGCCUAAAGUAGUGUUGACAGGGUACAAAGGCCACACAGACCGACGGGAUGGAGUAGAAGCACAGAAGUCCCUCACCUACGUAGAAAAUGAUGUUUGACAAGGGUGACAAUGUCUCUCAACGGGGAAAGGACAAUCUUUCCAGCAAAUAACAUCAAAAUAACUGAGUGUCCACUGCAAGAAAAUGAAGUAUCACUGUUUAUGUAAUGUACAAAAAUCAACUCAAAGUGGAUUAAUGAUCGAGGCAUGAGAUUUAAAACAUACUGCUCAUAGAAAAGAAAAAUAACAGCGGAGAAGCGUCACAACAUUGAAUUUGGUAAUGACUUCUUUGUAACAAAAGAGAAAGUCCGUCAGCUCUGAAUUGAGUCACUUUAGGCAAGUUCUUGUCCAUGUACUCCAGUCUUUCAAGGACGGCAAUAUCAAAUCAUCAGCAUACGUCGAACUCUGGACAUAGUGCAGGCUCUCUGUAAACUUGCUGCCACUACAAGCUCUGCUCUGUGGUAGCUGUGGUCUGUGACUAUUUUUUCCCUUACUGUGAUUCUUUGUUCCCUGUAAGUUUAUUGGUUCUAACAGCUCUAAUCAUCCAAGCUGCUAUAAUCACCUCUUCUUCUCUCCUUCUCUCUGUUGCUUUUCUGUUCUUCUGUGCUUUUUCUAUACCCUCAACUCUGUUGAUGAUGAUCAAUGUGUUAUUCACAUUACCAGCCAAUUACAGAAUUGCUCUUUUUCAAGAGAUAAUAUUUUUGUGGGUUCCCAGUUUCUUCUCUUUUUUUUUUUCCUGCAAAGUAUGUGUCUUUAUCAUUUAUUGGAACUCUAGCGAUCCUCAAAAAAAUAGUUUUUGAACUUUUCAAGACUUACUCUAUUAGAGAUUACAAAGAGCAGCAGAACCGCCAACACAUGGUUUCAAUCCUAAUCAGGUCAAUAUCCUUCCCAGUGUUAGUCGAGAUCCCUCUAAAAGCGAGCUCGAGACAAAGGGCCACAUGCAAUGUGUUUAUAUGGAAAGAGAUGCCAGGCACACAGAGAAGACGGAGCAGUAAAGUCAGGAAGGGAAGGGAAAUACAGAGAAACAUGGUCAACUGAGGCAGGUCACUGGGGACUACUUCUGCGGUAUCUUCUAGGAACCUUAAGAAAUGCAUCUCAAAGGAAGAAAAGAAGUAUUGACCUUCAGCUCUCAUUCCAUUUCAGUCCUGGGGACCCUAAAGGCAUCAACAUUCCUUCAUUUCUAGGUUUCCUAUGUCUGUGUCUGUGAGUGUCUGGAGGUGUUUGUCUCCACCACGUCAGGACACUUUGGCACCAGAACUGAUAGGUACACAGGGCGGGUCUGAGGUCCCGCCCGGGGAGAGCCAGCCAAACAGUGCAGAUGACCACACGACGACCAUGGUUGGCAGCAACUACUUACACAACUCAGAAUAGCUUGUAAUAUUUUCAGUGUUUCUCCCAACACAAAGAAAUGGUGUUUGUGGUGAUGGACCAGCCAACUUCCCUGAUCGAGGAAAUAUAUUUGUUUAUAUGUCAUAUGCCUUUACUGAAAUAUCACACUGUACCUCAACUAUGUGCCAGUCAAAAUUUUAAUAAAUCUAAAAAAAAAAAAAAACCGGCAUAGGAGAUUAGGAAACUCUGGUACUUGAUGACCAUGCAAUAUUGAAUAGCAUGAUUUACUGAGCUGGGGACCCAGCAGCAGUGUGUGCAGGGCUGGUUUCCCCAGCCAAGGCCACAGCAGGAAUCGAUACUGAAGCAAUCCACCCUUCGCACUGCGCAGAUCUGCUCGUGUUCACCCUACAUCCAGCCUUUCACAGAUUCCUCCUCAAAGUGGUGGCUAGAUAAACUCUCAAAGACCUAAGGUAGCAGGUAACUGAACAAGCUAUGUCACUGAAAUUAAAGCUGAUUUUGAUGCCAUAUUGGACAUCAGUAGUCUAAGUUCUCCAUCUGUCAUUCUGGAUUUAUCCACUUUUGGCCAGAACAGUGGUGAGUCCAGCUGCGCGCAGAGCAGAGUGAUGCAGAUCCCCUCUCUGGACAGGCCUGAGUUCUUCCACCGGGAGCUGCAGUAGUGGUGACCUGAUAUUCAUUGUUGCCAUGAGUUGUGGAAUUGAGAGCAGAUAGUCCAGCGAACCCUCUGGAUGAAGAAGGGAUUUCCCAGAACUGCCCAGAUCUUUGGAUCCUUCCGGUGCCCUCUACUGUGGGAGGCUUCUGCGUCUGCAAGCUUUUCGGCAGCACAAUGCUCUCCAGAAUGUGGAGAUGAUCAAGGUCCUUGCAGAGUCUACUUUGGCAGAGAGCAAUAGCGUUAGGACGGCUCUGAGGCACCGUGUGUUACGCCUUCCCCAGCUGAGUGAGCACUUCCACAGCCCCCUUAUUAAGUGGAUCCAGAAGAGAGCACCAGUUCAGCAGCUGCACACGACCUACCAGAGGAGCAUCGAUCUAGACCAUUAAAAUGCUGCAUUCUCCACUGUAGCCGUUACCAAGCUGCCACUGUUUCGUCGUGCCCCAUCUCAGUUUUGUAGCAGCCAAAGAGGUAAACCAAAGGGGCACGAUGAGGAAUUUCACCCUGCACCUCCUAAUCGUGGUGCUCACCUCUGUGAACUCCUCCAGAAUGUG